UUAAGUUCAGCGGGUAAUCCUACCUGAUUUGAGAUCAAACGUUCAAAAAGCUGUCCUCGCCGAGGAGGGACAUUUGUGAGCUCCAGUGAACCUCCAUUGCUGAAGGUUACAUCGUGGUGGAAAACCACAAGCGUAGAUAUUUAUCACACCUGUGAUGCCACCAAACACUGGCAAGCUGAUCCAUUUGAGAGGAGCCAACC
RNAcentral lists this unclassified non-coding RNA (200 nucleotides) under Thelephoraceae sp. RNAcentral describes it as "partial internal transcribed spacer 2". The record is from RNAcentral. Lineage: Eukaryota; Fungi; Basidiomycota; Agaricomycetes; Thelephorales; Thelephoraceae.